GAAAAUACAAGUUGGAAAAUAGUCAAACACAAUAUAACAUCUUUUCACCCCUAUACUUCUCAGCUUAAAAAAAAAGUAUUCUAAAAAAAAGUUCAAUAACUGAGGCAGUAUUCCUGAUAGAGAUAAAUUUCAUUUUACAUUUUCACCAUGAAGAUUAGGCAGGUUAAUGCUCUAAAACCCAGAGUGUUCAGCCCCAAAGUGAGGAAAAG
This 209-nucleotide long non-coding RNA is filed under the name Bos taurus (domestic cattle). Its description in RNAcentral is "long non-coding RNA NONBTAT017538". Lineage: Eukaryota; Metazoa; Chordata; Mammalia; Artiodactyla; Bovidae. The record is from RNAcentral.